GGGUCCGUAGCUCAAUGGUUAGAGCAUCCGGCUUAUAUCCGGACGGUUGGGGGUUCGACUCCCUCCGGACCCA
RNAcentral lists this transfer RNA (73 nucleotides) under bacterium. RNAcentral's name for it is "tRNA-Ile". It matches the Rfam family "tRNA". Rfam says of the family: Transfer RNA (tRNA) molecules are approximately 80 nucleotides in length. The record is from RNAcentral.